Molecule: ribosomal RNA, 253 nt
Filed under: uncultured bacterium
Lineage: Bacteria
Description: partial 16S ribosomal RNA
Rfam family: Bacterial small subunit ribosomal RNA
Source: RNAcentral
UACGAAGGGGGCUAGCGUUGCUCGGAAUCACUGGGCGUAAAGCGCACGUAGGCGGGUCGUUAAGUCAGGGGUGAAAUCCUGGAGCUCAACUCCAGAACUGCCCUUGAUACUGGCGAUCUCGAGUUCGGGAGAGGUGAGUGGAACUGCGAGUGUAGAGGUGAAAUUCGUAGAUAUUCGCAAGAACACCAGUGGCGAAGGCGGCUCACUGGCCCGGUACUGACGCUGAGAUGCGAAAGCGUGGGGAGCAAACAGG